RNAcentral lists this ribosomal RNA (415 nucleotides) under uncultured archaeon. RNAcentral's name for it is "bacterial SSU rRNA". It matches the Rfam family "Archaeal small subunit ribosomal RNA", at positions 582 to 997 of the family's 1478-position model. The record is from RNAcentral.
UGCUAUUAGACUUGAGACCGGGAGAGGUUAGAGGUACUCCCAGGGUAGAGGUGAAAUUCUGUAAUCCUGGGAGGACCGCCUGUUGCGAAGGCGUCUAACUGGAACGGUUCUGACGGUGAGGGACGAAAGUUAGGGGCGCGAACCGGAUUAGAUACCCGGGUAGUCCUAACUGUAAACGAUGCGGACUUGGUGUUGGGUGGCUUUGAGCUGCUCCAGUGCCGAAGGGAAGCUGUUAAGUCCGCCGCCUGGGAAGUACGGUCGCAAGACUGAAACUUAAGGAAUUGGCGGGGGAGCACCACAACGCGUGGAGCCUGCCGGUUUAAUUGGAUUCAACGCCGGACAUCUCACCAGAGGCGACAGCUGUAUGAUAGCCAGGUUGAUGACUUUGCUUGACUAGCUGAGUAGAGGUGCAUGG